This 802-nucleotide ribosomal RNA is filed under the name uncultured bacterium. RNAcentral describes it as "bacterial SSU rRNA". It matches the Rfam family "Bacterial small subunit ribosomal RNA", at positions 102 to 916 of the family's 1533-position model. The record is from RNAcentral.
ACGGGUGAGUAACGCGUGGGCAACCUGCCUUUUUCCGGGGGAUAACACAGGGAAACCUGUGCUAAUACCGCAUAAAGUCAUCUGAGGACAUUCUCUAAUGACCAAAGGAUUUAUCCGGGGAAAGAGGGGCCCGCGUCUGAUUAGCUUGUUGGUGAGGUAACGGCCCACCAAGGCGACGAUCAGUAGCCGAACUGAGAGGUUGAUCGGCCACAUUGGGACUGAGACACGGCCCAGACUCCUACGGGAGGCAGCAGUGGGGAAUAUUGCGCAAUGGGGGAAACCCUGACGCAGCAACGCCGCGUGAAGGAUGAAGGUUUUCGGAUUGUAAACUUCUUUGACAGGGGACGAACAAAUGACGGUACCCUGAAAACAAGUCACGGCUAACUACGUGCCAGCAGCCGCGGUAAUACGUAGGUGACAAGCGUUAUCCGGAUUUACUGGGUGUAAAGGGCGUGUAGGCGGGUCUGCAAGUCAGAUGUGAAAUACUGGGGCUUAACCCCGGAACUGCAUCUGAAACUGUGGAUCUUGAGUACCGGAGAGGAAAGUGGAAUUCCCAGUGUAGCGGUGAAAUGCGUAGAGAUUGGGAGGAACACCAGUGGCGAAGGCGGCUUUCUGGACGGUAACUGACGCUGAGGCGCGAAAGCGUGGGGAGCAAACAGGAUUAGAUACCCUGGUAGUCCACGCUGUAAACGAUGAAUACUAGGUGUAGGGGGGUAUAAAAUCCCUCUGUGCCGCAGCAAACGCAAUAAGUAUUCCACCUGGGGAGUACGACCGCAAGGUUGAAACUCAAAGGAAUUGACGG